RNAcentral lists this small RNA (668 nucleotides) under Pan troglodytes (chimpanzee). Its description in RNAcentral is "retained intron". The record is from RNAcentral. Lineage: Eukaryota; Metazoa; Chordata; Mammalia; Primates; Hominidae.
CAACAGAGCAAACUCCAUCUCAAAACAAAACAAAAAAACCAAAAAUCAAAACUUAAAAAACAAAAAACUGCUGGUGGGCUGGGUGUGGUGGCUCACUCCUGUAGUCCCAGCACUCUGGGAGGAUUGCAUGAGCCCAGGAGUUUGAGGCUGCAGGGAGCUAUGAUGGUGCCACUGCACUCCAGCUUGGGCAUCAGAGUGAGACCUUAUCUCAAAAAUAAAUAAAUAAAGGGAAGGGAAGGAAAGGAAGAAGAAAAUAAAGAAAAACUGCUGGUGGAUGAACAACAGCCUCAUUCAGUUGACUUCUUUUUCCUUCACCAAGACUGACUGGAGCUCUCCCGUGUCAGCUCGUAGCACAGAAGGUGAAGAGCCUGCUGUGGGGCCAGGGCUUCCCAGAUUACGUGGCCCCUUUUGGAAAUUCCCAGGCCCAGGACAUGCUGGACUGGGUGCCCAUCCACUUCAUCACCCAGUCAUUCAACAGGAAGGAUUCCUGCCAGCUCCCAGGGGCUUUGGUUAUAGAAGUGAAGUGGACUAAAUACGGAUCCCUGCUGAAUCCACAGGCCAAAAUAGUCAAUGUAACUGCAAAUCUAAUUUCAUCCUCCUUUCCUGAGGCCAACUCAGGAAAUGAAAGGACGAUUCUUAUUUCCACUGCGGUUACUUUUGUGGAUGUG